UUCCGGUUGAUCCCGCCGGACCUGAUUGCUAUCGGAUUGAUACUAAGCCAUGCGAGUCUUUGUAGCAAUACAAGGCAGACGGCUCAGUAACACGUAGUCAAUCUACCCUAUGGACGGGGAUAACCUCGGGAGACUGAGAAUAAUACCCGAUAGAUCAUUAUGCCUGGAAUGGUUUAUGGUUCAAAUGAUUUUUCGCCAUAGGAUGGGACUGCGGUCUAUCAGCUUGUUGGUGAGGUAACGGCCCACCAAGGCUAUAACAGAUACGGGCUCUGAGAGGAGAAGCCCGGAGAUGGGUACUGAGACACGGACCCAGGUCCUAUGGGGCGCAGCAGGCGAGGAAACUUUGCAAUGUGCGAAAGCACGACAAGGUUAACCCGAGUGUUUUCUGCUAAAGAAAUCUUUUGUCAGUCCUAAAAACACUGACGAAUAAGGGGUGGGCAAGUUCUGGUGUCAGCCGCCGCGGUAAAACCAGCACCUCAAGUGGUCAGGAGAUUAUUGGGCCUAAAGCAUCCGUAGCCUGCUCUGUAAGUUUUCGGUUAAAUCUAUAUCUCAACAUAUAGUGCUGCCGGGAAUAUUGCANAGCUAGGGAGUGGGAGAGGUAGAUUGUACGUCGGUAAGAAGGGGUAAAAUCCUUUGAUCUAUUGAUGACCACCUGUGGCGAAGCGGUCUACUAGAACACGUUACGACGGUAGAGGAUGAAAGCUGGGAGGAGCAAGCCGGAUUAGAUACCCGGGUAGUCCCAGCUGUAACUAUUCAAACUCAGUGAUGCACUGGCGUUGUGGCCA
Molecule: ribosomal RNA, 785 nt
Filed under: uncultured archaeon
Lineage: Archaea
Description: bacterial SSU rRNA
Rfam family: Archaeal small subunit ribosomal RNA
Source: RNAcentral